GACGAACGCUGGCGGCGUGCUUAACACAUGCAAGUCGAACGGAAAGGCCCUGCUUUUGUGGGGUGCUCGAGUGGCGAACGGGUGAGUAACACGUGAGUAACCUGCCCUUGACUUUGGUAUAACUUCAGGAAACUGGGGCUAAUACCGGAUAGGAGCUCCUGCUGCAUGGUGGGGGUUGGAAAGUUUCGGCGGUUGGGGAUGGACUCGCGUCUUAUCAGCUUGUUGGUGGGGUAGUGGCUUACCAAGGCUUUGACGGGUAGCCGGCCUGAGAGGGUGACCGGCGACAUUGGGACUGAGAUACGGCCCAGACGCCUACGGGAGGCAGCAGUGGGGAAUAUUGCACAAUGGGCGGAAGCCUGAUGCAGCAACGCCGCGUGCGGGAUGACGGCCUUCGGGUUGUAAACCGAUUUCGCCUGUGACGAAGCGUGAGUGACGGUAAUGGGUAAAGAAGCACCGGCUAACUACGUG
This 468-nucleotide ribosomal RNA is filed under the name uncultured bacterium. RNAcentral's name for it is "partial 16S ribosomal RNA". It matches the Rfam family "Bacterial small subunit ribosomal RNA", at positions 28 to 507 of the family's 1533-position model. The record is from RNAcentral.